RNAcentral lists this long non-coding RNA (2049 nucleotides) under Musa acuminata (dwarf banana). RNAcentral's name for it is "long non-coding RNA (MACU_LNC009970)". Lineage: Eukaryota; Viridiplantae; Streptophyta; Magnoliopsida; Zingiberales; Musaceae. The record is from RNAcentral.
UAUCCAUAAUCAAUACAAAGCCUCAAUGUUCCAUCAAUCUUUUUAACUAACACCAGAGCACCCCAUGAUAAAAUAUUAAGCCAAAUAAAAUCCUCAUUUAAUAAUCCUUGUAGUUGCUUUUCCAAUUCCACUUACUCAAAUGAUAUCUUUCUGUAGAGAGGCUUAGAUAUUGGGAUUGUCCCAAGGACCAAAUCAAAAGCAAGAUCACAUUUGGAGAUAAUCCAAACAAGUCAUCCUGGGAUAUAUUAGGCAAGGAGAUAAAUAAUGUCCAAUACUCUCAAAAUAAAAAUCGGCUGAUCAAAUAUGCAAAAAGUGAUAAUUGGUUAUAUACCAAUCCAUACUGGUAUGAUAGGAAGAUAGCCAAUCCAUACCAAGUAUAAUAUCAAAACUCCAAAUCUCUAGGAGAACUAAAUCAGCAAAAGUUCAAGUUCUCCAAUAAGAAUCAGACAAGAGGACCAGAUUCAAGUUCGUUAUCAAAGAAUCUCCAAUGAUCGUAUUUUACAUAUAUCACAUAAUACAGUGGUCUAGGUUGAAUACCCAAGUGAUAAGCAAAAUAUUACGAAUCAAAUUGUAGAUUGGACCCAUGGUCGAACAAAUAUUUGCAUUCUUUCAUAAACAUGCAUAAUACCUUCGAUCACUAAUUCAUAAGUUUCAGAAUCAUAUUCAGUGAUAGCAUACACUCUGACAUGGGCUGAUGAUUUAUGAGGCAGUGACUCUUUCUUCUUGUUCAAGGGGCAGUCUUUUAUUUUAUGAUCCACCCUUCCACAAACAAAAUAGACUCCAGUCAUUUGAAAACACAAACUUGUUUCAUAAUUUAACUUACAAUUCACACGUGAUUGAGUCUUUUGUGGUUACUUCCUUUUUCAAAUCCAAAUGUCUUGACCCUCCUGUUAUUACUUACUGAUUCAUUUCCAAUCAUAUUUUUAUUGGUAAACUUGUUCUUGUCAUUCUUGCCAUUGAUCUUCAAAAAUUCUUUUCAUUGUUGCCAUUAAUGAUCAGCCUCUACUUCCAAUAUAAGGCGGCAAAAGAAAUCUUUUGAUCAUCAGAACAAUUUUGUACAUCAAAUAUCUUCUCUGUUUGCAUAAUCCAUUUUUCUGCCACCAAUGAAAUUAGGUCCACCAUGCUUCCGCUGCGCCACUCUGAUUCAAUAUCCCCAAUUACCCCUUUCAUCCCACUUAAUUAAUCAAAACCAGAUGAAAUAGGUGGACUAAAUGUCACCGUCAUCCUAGAUUCCUAAAAGACAUCAAGGAAAAUCUUCCCGAUCACUAUAGUGUACUAGACCUCGAAAUAUUUUGCACGUCAACAUAUCAAAUAUUUCAGUAAUCCUCAAACCAUGCUCUGAUACCACCUCUGUCACGCCCCUCAAAUAUAUCCAUAAUUUUUAAAACAAUUUCAACACAGACCAAUCCAUCCAGGAUCCAAACUAACGUUUGAGGACACUGAAAAACAUUCAAUCAAAUUCACAUCCAUAAAACCUGUGCAUUUAAAAAUCAUAUAUCACAUCACUCGAUAAUUAACAUUUAUGGCAACCCAAGCCAACUUGACAAACAUGAACAACAUUUAUAAAUCCACAAGCUAAAUAAAUUAUACAAUCAGAACUCCAACUAUUCACCAUAAGUUCAUAUCGUCAUAAAUUAGACUUAAUAUUCCGAAAUUCCAAAUAAGAGAGAUCUUCUAACACUUUUACACAGUAUAUCCAUUUCGAUUCAUCGACAACAUUUCAUUACAUACAAAACAUACUUAUACAACAAUAUCAUAAUAACCACCCAGACUUGCCCAUAAUUCUGAAUAGCUAUCCACUGCCUCAGCCCAAAUCAACCUCUCGAAGAGUGACAAGCUGACCUGAAAGAUUUAUAUAACAACGGAGUGAGCCAAAAACGGCUUAGCUAGUGACAAAGCAUAUUCAGAACAAAAGGAACGGUUUCAAACGAGUAAGGUAUCAUAAUGCAAGGCAGAAUACAAGAAUUCUCAAGGAUACCAUCUCAAUAGAUACCAAAUCAUACGUAUCAUGUCAUUCAAAACAUAUUUGAUCCGUAACGAAUGGAGCAU